Molecule: long non-coding RNA, 765 nt
Filed under: Helianthus annuus (common sunflower)
Lineage: Eukaryota; Viridiplantae; Streptophyta; Magnoliopsida; Asterales; Asteraceae
Description: hypothetical non coding rna
Source: RNAcentral
UAACCAGACUUUCCUCUUCACUUCUUCUUCACCACAUUGACACCUUCCUGAACCAACCUCCAUCUCCAUCUCCAUCACCACAUCGACCACCGCCCUCCAUCAUCGUCCUCAACCCCAAACGCCGUCGCACCCCGCCACCCACUCCGUCGCACACAUCCGCCUCCAUCUCCAUCACCACUUCCCCGUCGCUGGUUCCGACCACCACGGCCUCACCCGUCUUCUCCAACCACACCGGAACCAUCACGCACCACCGUUCGCCCUCACCUUCGCCUCCGGUCUCCGACAUCAGUUCCAAAUAAUUUACACAACCACAAAUUCACUCAGUUUAACGAAGCUUCCAAUUCGUGAUUUUGCUUUACUGAUUCCGUUUUAUUCAGAAUGAGUUGACUUGAUGGACAGCUGACUCAAAAGCUAGAAAUAUUGAUUGUGUAUAUGUGUCGCCGGGUAGCUGAUCAAGUUUGAGAUUGACGUUACGAUACAGGAGACGCACUUCAGUGAGAAAUUAGUGGAUCGGGCGGAGUAUGCGUUGUGUCAAGGCUGCGUAGUGAAUAAAGAUGUCAUCCGAGUCGUCGAGUUUAGGAGGUGGAUCCCUUUCCUGGACGGGAUACACAAUUCUAAACUUGGGUUUUUAUUUACGUGCUUUUGAUGACUCAUUGUGAACUCUGCUAAUCAUGUCAUGGUUGUAACUUACUUUAUGUGUCAACAUUUUCAAUCAAUGUCGUUGUGGUAUUUUUAACUUAAUGAAUGGAUGAACAUCUUGUGUUU